This 253-nucleotide ribosomal RNA is filed under the name uncultured bacterium. RNAcentral's name for it is "partial 16S ribosomal RNA". It matches the Rfam family "Bacterial small subunit ribosomal RNA", at positions 524 to 776 of the family's 1533-position model. The record is from RNAcentral.
UACGUAGGUGGCAAGCGUUGUCCGGAUUUACUGGGCGUAAAGAGCGCGCAGGCGGUCGUUCAAGUCGCGUGUGAAAACCCCCGGCUCAACUGGGGAGGGUCACGCGAUACUGAUCGACUCGAAGGCAGGAGAGGGAAGUGGAAUUCCCGGUGUAGUGGUGAAAUGCGUAGAUAUCGGGAGGAACACCGAUGGCGAAGGCAGGUCUCUGGGCAUUAACUGACGCUGAGGAGCGAAAGCAUGGGGAGCGAACAGG